UACGUAGGGUGCAAGCGUUGUCCGGAAUUAUUGGGCGUAAAGAGCUUGUAGGCGGUUUGUCGCGUCUGCUGUGAAAUUUCGGGGCUCAACCCCCGAACUUGCAGUGGGUACGGGCAGACUAGAGUGUGGUAGGGGAGACUGGAAUUCCUGGUGUAGCGGUGAAAUGCGCAGAUAUCAGGAGGAACACCGAUGGCGAAGGCAGGUCUCUGGGCCACUACUGACGCUGGAGGAGCGAAAGCGUGGGGAGCGAACAGG
RNAcentral lists this ribosomal RNA (255 nucleotides) under uncultured bacterium. RNAcentral describes it as "partial 16S ribosomal RNA". It matches the Rfam family "Bacterial small subunit ribosomal RNA", at positions 524 to 776 of the family's 1533-position model. The record is from RNAcentral.